Lolium perenne is the source of this 1884-nucleotide non-coding RNA. The record is from RefSeq and is a predicted model, not a curated record. NCBI's taxonomy places the organism in Eukaryota, Viridiplantae, Streptophyta, Magnoliopsida, Poales, Poaceae.
AGACCCCAGUUUCAGUUUAUCUUGUGUGAGCAGUUUCAGUUGGCUUUUUUUAUUAUUACUACUACGUAUUAAGGAGAAGAGUGUGUGCGCAGUGCGCUUUGACUUUGUCUCUCUUCUUUCCCACAAAUGAUUGUAUAGGGAAAACCCUAGCCGCCGCCGCCAAGACCUCGCCCCGGCUGAGCACUCCACCCCCGCCGCCGCCGGAGGAAGCCGUCUCACGGCCGACGGCGCCGCCGUGCUGCAGCGGCCUCGCUGGCUUCGGCGCCGACGCGCGCCACUGACCUCCUGCACCGCCUCGUCCCCAGGGGAGACCGGCCUGCUUCCUGGCCCUCGCGCGCUGCUGAGGGGCUCAUGCCCCGCCUCGACCCCGUGGAGGAGCGGCACGGCCCCCUGGCCUGGACCUCGCGCCGCGGCUUCACUGACCCGACCUCGACCUCAACCGCCUGUUGACGGCGCCGCCGUUCUGACACUCAGUUUGUCAUCUAGUAUUUCUUCUUUAAUUCAAAAUUGAGCUUGCUGCAUACUCAGUUUGUCAUCUAUUUCUUCUUUGGUCUUCCUCAUCUUUCUUGCAUAGAAAUUGCACAACAUGAAAUGCAUGUUCCUGCAGGCCAUGAAAUGCUAUAUUUCUUCUUGUGCAGAAUAUAAGAAACAUUUAUUUCAGGCUGACAUGUUUAUGUUCUCUCCAAAUGCAGAGAUGAAUAAGAAGCUCAGAAACAUGUGCACAGAUGUGCGGAAUCUGGUGCCGGUGGGUGCAGUGAUGGCCAAGGCAGUUCCAGCAAGGAUGGAGGAAAUGUUGAGAAAGACGCGGCAUCAGACGAUGAAUGGCUGGUUGUUGACCGACUGUUGGCACCGUGCCGAGAUGGCCAGUGUCGAGUACUUCAACCUCAUGUACCUUACAUGUGUAUUCUGCUGGCAGGAUAUGGAAAACCAUGAGGGAUGCAUGGGACAGAUUGAUCUCGACCAUACAUCGGUGGGCAAUUCUAUGCAAGACUGCUCUGGAAGUCACCUUGCAGCAAUACAUCCGGGAUAUGGAGCACAAGCGGGAGGAACUCCUUCAGAUAGCCUGGCACUAGUUCCCUCAGGAGGCGAGUGGAUGAUGGCCGAGCUACAACGCCAACUGCUCCUAACUAACUGGUUUUUCCCUCCAGUCGCCUUCUCCAACCCAGUCCAAGCCGGCAGCGGGUCCAAGUGUAAGGCGACCUAAUGAAGAGAAAGAAACUUGGCCUCGGCUGAGCUUUAUAGUCCACGUUUUGGUUUGUUGUUCCUGGCUUAUUAAGGCAGUAAACUUGGUUUGAGAAAAGAGAGGUAGCGGGCUUUGUCCCCUGGACUGUAAUAAGCGUUGGUAGUUUUCAGCUGUUGAUGACAAAAUAUCUGUGCAAGACAUGCGGCAGUCUCAAGACAGAACGGAGUUGUUUCAUAUGGCCCUAUCCGCACGAGCUUAUGAGGAAUUCCUUGUUAUUUCUUCCUGGCUUGAUGGAUUGAGUUGAACACAUCUAAGAGGGAUGAAUGGAAAUGUGUGUGGCAUAAUGGAGAGUAUUUCACUUCCAAGUACUAUGCUUUAGUUCACGAGCCAUUGGUUGUAUGUCUGAAUACAAGAGAUCUAUUGAAGAGGAGCUGGAAAGUAACUGAUGAUAACCACUGUGAGUUGUGUCCUGGUAGAGAUUGUGAUGAUCGUCAACAUCUGUUCUUUGAGUGUAAUUUUGGCCAAAGAAUUUAGAACUACCUUCAGAUUAAGUGCGAACCAGGAGAUGAUGUAUUAGAAGUGGCUGCAAAUGCUAGGAGAAGCUUUAGCAAACUUUUUUUUUUCGUUGAAGUGGCUUUUAAAGCUUGUUGGCACGUAUGUAAAUUGAGAAACGGGAAAAUCUUCAGAGAUGAAAGACCCAG